CUGGCUCAGGAUGAACGCUAGCGGCAGGCCUAACACAUGCAUGUCGAGGGGUAAUUUCGAUCUUCGGAUCGGAAACGACCGGCAAAUGGGUGAGUAAUACAUAUGCAACCUGCCCGUAGCUGGAGAAUAGCUUCCGGAAACGGAAAUUAAUACUCCAUAAUAUUCUAGUAUCGCAUGUUAUUAGAAUUAAAGCUUCGGUGGCUACGGAUGGGCAUAUGUCCCAUUAGCUUGUUGGUGAGGUAACUGCUCACCAAGGCUACGAUGGGUAGGGGGUCUGAGAGGAUGAUCCCCCACACUGGUACUGAGACACGGACCAGACUCCUACGGGAGGCAGCAGUGAGGAAUAUUGGUCAAUGGGCGAAAGCCUGAACCAGCCAUGCCGCGUGCAGGAUGACAGUCCUACGGAUUGUAAACUGCUUUUCUGCAAGAAGAAAUGUUCCGACGUGUCGGGAUUUGACGGUAUUGCAGGAAUAAGCAUCGGCUAACUCCGUGCCAGCAGCCGCGGUAAUACGGAGGAUGCAAGCGUUAUCCGGAUUCAUUGGGUUUAAAGGGUGCGUAGGCGGAUUAGAUAGUCAAAGGUGAAAGCCUGCAGCUUAACUGUAGAAGUGCCUUUGAUACUGCUAAUCUUGAGUACAGUUGAGGCGAGUGGAAUGUGUAGUGUAGCGGUGAAAUGCAUAGAUACUACACAGAACACCAAUUGCGAAGGCAGCUCGCUAAGCUGUUACUGACGCUCAGGCACGAAAGCGUGGGGAGCGAACAGGAUUAGAUACCCUGGUAGUCCACGCUGUAAACUAUGAUCACUAGCUGUUGGCGAUAAAUUGUCAGUGGCUCAGCGAAAGCGUUAAGUGAUCCACCUGGGGAGUACGAAUCGCAGGUUGAAACUCAAAGGAAUUGACGGGGGCCCGCACAAGCAGUGGAACAUGUGGUUUAAUUCGAUGAUACGCGAGGAACCUUACCUGGGCUUAAUUGUAGCGCGACGUCUC
This 983-nucleotide ribosomal RNA is filed under the name uncultured organism. Its description in RNAcentral is "bacterial SSU rRNA". It matches the Rfam family "Bacterial small subunit ribosomal RNA", at positions 19 to 1001 of the family's 1533-position model. The record is from RNAcentral.